This 443-nucleotide ribosomal RNA is filed under the name uncultured bacterium. RNAcentral describes it as "partial 16S ribosomal RNA". It matches the Rfam family "Bacterial small subunit ribosomal RNA", at positions 338 to 795 of the family's 1533-position model. The record is from RNAcentral.
CCUACGGGUGGCAGCAGUGGGGAAUAUUGGGCAAUGGGCGCAAGCCUGACCCAGCAACGCCGCGUGAAGGCAGAAGGCUUUCGGGUUGUAAACUUCUUUUCUUAGGGACGAAGAAAGUGACGGUACCUCAGGAAUAAGCCACGGCUAACUACGUGCAAGCAGCCGCGGUAAUACGUAGGUUGCAAGCGUUAUCCGGAUUCAUUGGGUGUAAAGGGCGUGUAGGCGGGAAAGCAAGUCAGAUGUGAAAACUCAGGGCUCAACCCUGAGCCUGCAUUUGAAACUGUUUGUCUUGAGUGCUGGAGAGGCGAUCGGAAGUCGGUGUGUAGCGGUGAAAUGCGUAGAUAUACGGAGGAACACCAGUGGCGAAGGCAGAUUACUGGACUGUAAAUGACGCUGAGGCUCGAAAGCGUGGGGAGCAAACAGGAUUAGAUACCCUAGUAGUC